Molecule: ribosomal RNA, 513 nt
Filed under: uncultured bacterium
Lineage: Bacteria
Description: bacterial SSU rRNA
Rfam family: Bacterial small subunit ribosomal RNA
Source: RNAcentral
AACGCUGGCGGCGUGCCUAAUACAUGCAAGUCGAACGGUCUUUCUAUGGAAGCUUGCUUCCACUGAGAAGAUAGUGGCGAACGGGUGAGUAACACGUGGGUAACCUGCCCAUAAGAGGGGGAUAACAUCCGGAAACGGGUGCUAAUACCGCAUAGUUUUCUUGAUCGCAUGAUUGAGAAAGGAAAGACGGCCUUUGUGCUGUCGCUUAUGGAUGGACCCGCGGCGUAUUAGUUAGUUGGUGGGGUAACGGCUCACCAAGACGAUGAUACGUAGCCGACCUGAGAGGGUGAUCGGCCACAUUGGGACUGAGACACGGCCCAAACUCCUACGGGAGGCAGCAGUAGGGAAUCUUCCGCAAUGGACGAAAGUCUGACGGAGCAACGCCGCGUGAGUGAAAGAAGGUUUUCGGAUCGUAAAACUCUGUUGUCAGAGAAGAACAAGUUGGAGAGUAACUGCUCCAGCCUUGACGGUAUCUGACCAGAAAGCCACGGCUAACUACGUGCCAGCCGCCGC